GAUGAACGCUGGCGGCGUGCCUAAUACAUGCAAGUCGAGCGAACAGAUAAGGAGCUUGCUCCUUUGAAGUUAGCGGCGGACGGGUGAGUAACACGUGGGUAACCUACCUAUAAGACUGGGAUAACUUCGGGAAACCGGAGCUAAUACCGGAUAACAUUUAGAACCGCAUGGUUCUAAAGUGAAAGAUGGUUUUGCUAUCACUUAUAGAUGGACCCGCGCCGUAUUAGCUAGUUGGUAAGGUAACGGCUUACCAAGGCGACGAUACGUAGCCGACCUGAGAGGGUGAUCGGCCACACUGGAACUGAGACACGGUCCAGACUCCUACGGGAGGCAGCAGUAGGGAAUCUUCCGCAAUGGGCGAAAGCCUGACGGAGCAACGCCGCGUGAGUGAUGAAGGGUUUCGGCUCGUAAAACUCUGUUAUUAGGGAAGAACAAACGUGUAAGUAACUGUGCACGUCUUGACGGUACCUAAUCAGAAAGCCACGGCUAACUACGUGCCAGCAGCCGCCGUAA
RNAcentral lists this ribosomal RNA (513 nucleotides) under uncultured bacterium. RNAcentral's name for it is "partial 16S ribosomal RNA". It matches the Rfam family "Bacterial small subunit ribosomal RNA", at positions 28 to 523 of the family's 1533-position model. The record is from RNAcentral.